UGGGGAAUAUUGGACAAUGGGGGCAACCCUGAUCCAGCCAUGCCGCGUGAGUGAUGAAGGCCUUCGGGUUGUAAAGCUCUUUUGGCGGGGACGAUGAUGACGGUACCCGCAGAAUAAGCCCCGGCUAACUUCGUGCCAGCAGCCGCGGUAAGACGAAGGGGGCUAGCGUUGUUCGGAAUUACUGGGCGUAAAGCGAGUGUAGGCGGUUGCCGUAGUCAGGUGUGAAAGCCUUGAGCUCAACUCAAGAAAUGCACUUGAUACUGGGUGACUAGAGGACCGGAGAGGAUAGUGGAAUUCCCAGUGUAGUGGUGAAAUACGUAGAGAUUGGGAAGAACACCAGUGGCGAAGGCGGCUAUCUGGACGGUUACUGACGCUAAGACUCGAAAGCGUGGGGAGCAAACAGGAUUAGAUACCCUGGUAGUCCACGCCGUAAACGAUGGGUGCUAGACGUUGGCGAGCUUGCUCGUCAGUGUCGCAGCUAACGCGUUAAGCACCCCGCCUGGGGGAGUACGGCCGCAAGGUUGAAACUCAAAAUGAAUUGACGGGGGUCAUAGCUGUUUCCU
Molecule: ribosomal RNA, 563 nt
Filed under: uncultured bacterium
Lineage: Bacteria
Description: partial 16S ribosomal RNA
Rfam family: Bacterial small subunit ribosomal RNA
Source: RNAcentral